RNAcentral lists this ribosomal RNA (237 nucleotides) under uncultured bacterium. Its description in RNAcentral is "partial 16S ribosomal RNA". It matches the Rfam family "Bacterial small subunit ribosomal RNA", at positions 15 to 235 of the family's 1533-position model. The record is from RNAcentral.
AAUCCUGGCUCAGGACGAACGCUGGCGGCGUGCUUAACACAUGCAAGUCGAACGAGAAUCUGCUGAAGGAGGAUUCGUCCAACGGAAGCAGAGGAAAGUGGCGGACGGGUGAGUAACGCGUGAGGAACCUGCCUUGAAGAGGGGGACAACAGUUGGAAACGACUGCUAAUACCGCAUGACGCAUAGAGGUCGCAUGAUCUUUAUGCCAAAGAUUUAUCGCUUCAAGAUGGCCUCGCG